Long non-coding RNA from Sinocyclocheilus rhinocerous, 90 nucleotides. RefSeq lists it as uncharacterized. The record is from RefSeq and is a predicted model, not a curated record. The transcript has 3 exons. Lineage: Eukaryota; Metazoa; Chordata; Actinopteri; Cypriniformes; Cyprinidae.
UUGUCUUUUGACUAAAUUUUAAAGGUGAUAUAUCAUGAAUAUCUGACUUUUCCAGGUUUUAAGUGCUAUAAUCAGGUCCCCGGUGCAUCU